Molecule: long non-coding RNA, 402 nt
Filed under: Pan troglodytes (chimpanzee)
Lineage: Eukaryota; Metazoa; Chordata; Mammalia; Primates; Hominidae
Description: long non-coding RNA NONPTRT005590
Source: RNAcentral
CGGCGGACCGGGGAAGCCCCGCGCCCUGGCCAGGAAUAAUCGGUGGAGAUGGAUUGUGAAAUGGAGGUGCAUAAAUAUCCAGUUUGCCAACCGAGCUAAGAAAUGCUGGAUAAAAGUAAAAGGAUAUAGAAGACUUAGAUCACUACGAGAUGAAAGCAGAGCCCAUUAGUGGGAAAAAGUUGGAGGAUGAAGGAAUUGCAAAAGAAAAUUUGGCAAUAUUAGAGAAAUUAGGAAGACUGAAAGGGUUGACCCUGCUAGUCCUUUGCACAGUGAUCUUCAGAUCUUAAAAGAAAAAGAAGGCAUAGGAGAUACUUUGCUUAACUUAUCUUUUAAGAAACUGUUGUCGUUGUCAACUGGGUUGUCUUCCUGAAGUAUGAAUCCGCCAAUGGCUCCUGACACCAG